Molecule: ribosomal RNA, 465 nt
Filed under: uncultured bacterium
Lineage: Bacteria
Description: partial 16S ribosomal RNA
Rfam family: Bacterial small subunit ribosomal RNA
Source: RNAcentral
ACGCACGCUGGCGGCGUGCUUCACACAUGCCAGUCGAACGGAAAGGCCCUGCUUUUGUGGGGUGCUCGAGUGGCGAACGGGUGAGUAACACGUGAGUAACCUGCCCUUGACUUUGGGAUAACUUCAGGAAACUGGGGCUAAUACCGGAUAGGAGCUCCUGCUGCAUGGUGGGGGUUGGAAAGUUUCGGCGGUUGGGGAUGGACUCGCGGCUUAUCAGCUUGUUGGUGGGGUAGUGGCUUACCAAGGCUUUGACGGGUAGCCGGCCUGAGAGGGUGACCGGCCACAUUGGGACUGAGAUACGGCCCAGACUCCUACGGGAGGCAGCAGUGGGGAAUAUUGCACAAUGGGCGGAAGCCUGAUGCAGCAACGCCGCGUGCGGGAUGACGGCCUUCGGGUUGUAAACCGCUUUCGCCUGUGACGAAGCGUGAGUGACGGUAAUGGGUAAAGAAGCACCGGCUAACUACG